This 148-nucleotide small RNA is filed under the name Macaca mulatta (Rhesus monkey). RNAcentral describes it as "Metazoan signal recognition particle RNA (ENSMMUG00000057169.1)". Lineage: Eukaryota; Metazoa; Chordata; Mammalia; Primates; Cercopithecidae. The record is from Rfam by way of RNAcentral.
GCCAGGCAUUGUGGCAGGUGCCUGUAAUCCCAACUACUUGGGAGGCUGAGGCAGGAGAAUCGCUUGAACCCAGGAGGCAGAGGUUGCAGUGAGCUGAGAUCAUGCCACUGCACUCCAGCCUGGGUGACAGAGCGAGACUCUGUCUCAA